GAGCUGGAUUGCUGUACCAAACCUUAUAAAGGAUGGAUAAAGGCACCACUAGUGAUUAGUACAAUUGUCAAUGUAGAUCCAUAUCAUCACAAAAUAGGCUCACCGUCCUUAUUACUUUUUGCAAUAAACUAAUUAACUGAAAUUCCUGCAGGUAAAAAAUUUCAUCCACAACUCUUGCAGCGUUAACAAGUAAACCCCAUGCCUUCCUGUCUCCAUCUGAUAGGCCAGUCAACUGCCGCACCCCAGCCCAAAUACCUUGUGUGAUUGGGAUGGAAUUGCAAAACUCACCCUGCCUUAUUGCUACUCCUCUGCAUUGAGAGAAACUGAAGCAUAACGACUGAGCUGCCUUUGUAGAGUCAAGCUGCGUGCUACAUUGUUCUCUUUAUACCGUUCCUUAAUUAUGUCAAAGAGUUGACCGUAUUCUCCAGUUACAUCAUAGGGGACAUAAUCAGGAUGUUCUUCAGCAAGUAAGCUUCUAUAAUCCUCAUAGGAAAUAUAUUUGACUGCAGAUACUUCUGUUUCCUGAAGAGUAAACGCCUCUAGAGGAAUUGGAUCUAGAGUUGUCACGAGGUAUACAUCACUAUAUUCAUUAUUGAUAUAUUUGC
This 605-nucleotide unclassified non-coding RNA is filed under the name Hevea brasiliensis (rubber tree). Lineage: Eukaryota; Viridiplantae; Streptophyta; Magnoliopsida; Malpighiales; Euphorbiaceae. The record is from RNAcentral.